CACCAGCGCCACAAGUGGGGACCCGUUUUAUUGGGCCUAAAGCGUCCGUAGCCGGUUUAGUAAAUCUUUUGUGAAAUCGUCGGGCUUAACCUGACGGCGUGCAGAAGAAACUGCUAAACUUGAGACCGGGAGGAGUCAGAGGUAUUCCAUGGGUAGCGGUAAAAUGCAAUAAUCCAUGGAAGACCACCUGUGGCGGAGGCGUCUGACUAGAACGGUUCUGACGGUGAGGGACGAAAGCCAGGGGAGCGAACCG
RNAcentral lists this ribosomal RNA (253 nucleotides) under uncultured archaeon. RNAcentral describes it as "partial 16S ribosomal RNA". It matches the Rfam family "Archaeal small subunit ribosomal RNA", at positions 474 to 726 of the family's 1478-position model. The record is from RNAcentral.